GUAUAAAAUUAUUUUGAGUUAUUCUUUCAGGUUGCAUGUUUUCCAUCCUUACUUAUUUUAAAGACUACUGCAAGAACUGGAAUUCAGAUGAAAAUUGCAAGGAGAUUAUAAUUAAAUAACACCUCAAAACUUAAAAUGGUAUUGAUGUAUCAGCUAUACUUCAUAUGAUGAACCAGACCUAUCACCAUGGCAUUUAAUGCCUCUACUCUAAAGUUUUCCUACUCCCCCAGAAGUAGAAACUUCGGGGUAAAGCAGAACUGAAGAGUCUGACUACCAAGAGGUGCAAUCAUCUGCAUCUAUUAGUCUUCCCAUCUGCAAAUCUGUGAGGAUGGCUGCCCAAUCAUGUGCCCAGCAGCUGACAUUCAAAAGUGAAUAUCUGGAUCUUUAGUUAAAACUGAACACUGUUUUGACCAUAUAAUUUUGAUAUUAGAUUGAUGCUGCCAGUUUAGCUGCUAACAAGUUAUAUGACUAAUAACACAGCUGAUGGGAGAUUGUGUGUUGCUUUAUUAGAAU
Long non-coding RNA from Nothoprocta perdicaria, 513 nucleotides. RefSeq lists it as uncharacterized. The record is from RefSeq and is a predicted model, not a curated record. Lineage: Eukaryota; Metazoa; Chordata; Aves; Tinamiformes; Tinamidae. The transcript has 3 exons.